CGUACACUCCUGCGGGAGGCAGCAGUGGGGAAUAUUGCACAAUGGGCGCAAGCCUGAUGCAGCCAUGCCGCGUGUAUGAAGAAGGCCUUCGGGUUGUAAAGUACUUUCAGCGGGGAGGAAGGCGAUAAGGUUAAUAACCUUGUCGAUUGACGUUACCCGCAGAAGAAGCACCGGCUAACUCCGUGCCAGCAGCCGCGGUAAUACGGAGGGUGCAAGCGUUAAUCGGAAUUACUGGGCGUAAAGCGCACGCAGGCGGUCUGUCAAGUCGGAUGUGAAAUCCCCGGGCUCAACCUGGGAACUGCAUUCGAAACUGGCAGGCUAGAGUCUUGUAGAGGGGGGUAGAAUUCCAGGUGUAGCGGUGAAAUGCGUAGAGAUCUGGAGGAAUACCGGUGGCGAAGGCGGCCCCCUGGACAAAGACUGACGCUCAGGUGCGAAAGCGUGGGGAGCAAACAGGAUUAGAAACCCUUGUAGUCCCAUG
Molecule: ribosomal RNA, 478 nt
Filed under: uncultured organism
Description: partial 16S ribosomal RNA
Rfam family: Bacterial small subunit ribosomal RNA
Source: RNAcentral